RNAcentral lists this non-coding RNA (30 nucleotides) under Rattus norvegicus (Norway rat). The record is from RNAcentral. Lineage: Eukaryota; Metazoa; Chordata; Mammalia; Rodentia; Muridae.
UGUAAAUUGGAUGUCUCUUCUUGUUUAAGC